Molecule: ribosomal RNA, 417 nt
Filed under: uncultured bacterium
Lineage: Bacteria
Description: bacterial SSU rRNA
Rfam family: Bacterial small subunit ribosomal RNA
Source: RNAcentral
UGGGGAAUAUUGCACAAUGGGCGCAAGCCUGAUGCAGCGACGCCGCGUGAGUGAAGAAGUAUCUCGGUAUGUAAAGCUCUAUCAGCAGGGAAGAAAAUGACGGUACCUGACUAAGAAGCCCCGGCUAACUACGUGCCAGCAGCCGCGGUAAUACGUAGGGGGCAAGCGUUAUCCGGAUUUACUGGGUGUAAAGGGAGCGUAGACGGCGACGCAAGUCUGGAGUGAAAGCCCGGGGCCCAACCCCGGGCACUGCUUUGGAAAUCUGUGCUGCUGGAGUGCAGGAGAGGUAAGUGGAAUUCCUAGUGUAGCGGUGAAAUGCGUAGAUAUUAGGAGGAACACCAGUGGCGAAGGCGGCUUACUGGACUGUAACUGACGUUGAGGCUCGAAAGCGUGGGGAGCAAACAGGAUUAGAUACCC